UGCUGUCUAUUAUUAUUCUGUUUAUAAAUCAGUGAAGUGGAUUAGCUUGAGAACUUGAGAAAUUUUAGAAUUUGCCCAGCAAAAUACGGGAGACUUUAACUGAAGAAACAAAGGCAGUGCCUUUCUUAGUAAAUCAAGACAUGCAGGUGGUGGUUUUAUUGGAAUUAUUUACUUCUAAGUCCUCUGGGGGUAUGGGUUUCAUUUGUUAGUCAUUGCAGAUACUGUUCUUCCUCUUCUCAAAACUGAAAGAAGUCUGUGGUAAAAGCAUUGUAGAUGAAUGUUGCUUUAAAGCCUAUGUGUAACUUGGCAGUUGAAGAUUAUGGAGGUUUCCAUUUUCAUCCUUUGUAACUACAUUUUCAAGUUUGCUAUCAAGAGAUUAACGCUUCAGUUCUACAGCAAGCUUUUAUGUUUGGGUGCAGCCUGGUCUGCUUUUUUUUUUUCCUUCUCAUUUUAUUCGCUUGAGUAUGAGUUAAAAAUGGCAUGUACCUUUCACACCCUGGCUUUAGAAGAAGUUUCACUUAUCAGUUGCUGUGGCCCUUUUGGCAUUUGGGCACAUUGACAAGCACUAAGUAGCUUGUUACGUCAGUCUCUGAAGGGGCAGAGAGAGGCUGUGUGGGUUUCUGCUUCUGUUUUGAGCCGCUGUUUGUCUCUGCAUCUGCUCAUCUGCAAAGAUGAUUGCUGUUCAUGUCCUCUGGGGUCCUAAUCCCAUCCCAGCAGAGAAUUAAAAAAUAACUAAUUGUGUCUCUCUUCAUGGUUGCAGUUAGAGUGAAUUUACUUUGAAAAUUCUUCAACUCUUGCUUAUUUCUGUUUUGUACAUUUUCUUUUUUCCUGAUGUGUACAUAGCAUUACAUGCAUAAAGCAACAGGAACUAUGAUGGAGAGCAAUACAUUUCUUCACAGCUUAGUUUAGUGGUUUAAAAACUAGGCAUGCGUGCAGAAAGCUUGGUAUGAUAAGUAGUCUUUGUGUAUUGUAAGUAGUCUCUGUGUUCUGUUUGAAAAAAGGGCACCGCUUAAAAAAGAUGAAAAUAAAAACGCUGUGUUGAAUGACAGCUAACUAUAAAUUUUUGAAAUAUAAGGGCUAGAAUUCUUCUUAAUCUACCACGUCAUGAUUAUAGUUUUCAACCUUCCUGUGGAAAGCGACGCUUCCUCUCAAGGGUUUGAUUAAUGUUAGAAUUGAAACUGUGACAUACAUAAAUAACCCAUUUACAGCAGCUCUUCCCACAUCCCAAAUCAAGGAGAAUCCUAACUGAUAAAGCAUGAUCUCUACAUAUUGGUGCAAAGCUGACAGCAGCCUCUUGAAUAGAAGGCAAUUCUGAUUUCUGUGAAAAGAAGUAAAUAUUUCUGCUUAGGCAGACUGCAGUCUGGCAGAACCCUGCACAUUUUAAUCAGCGCCUUGUGCUCAAUACUGGAUAAUAAUGGCUUGUGUGUGUACCAGAUUGCUAGCCAUACGCUUCAGCAUGGUAUGCUCUGUUGUCUUCCCAGGUAAGGAGUAUGAACCAGCCCUCUCAGCUGUGGUAUUAAAGAACAUGUAUAAUGAGUUAUCUUAUGAACUCUAGGCUUUAGAUUAAAAAAAAAAAAAACACACAACAACAACAACAACAAAACCUAAUGAAAGUGCAGUAGCAUUAGUGCUGCAGAAUUUCAUUUAUGCAUUUAUACAUUGGAAAUUACCCUUUUUUAAAAUAUCUAAUGCUUGUGGGAAAGGGGAGGUAAGGAAUAGGUUGAAACAGAAGCUAUUAAAGAUUUCUCAAUUGUUGCAUUUUUAAGGAAAAAAGAAAAAAGAAAUGAAUUUAAAGAGUCUAACUCACUGUUUUCAAUGAUAGACAAAAAUGACUGAUUCUGUCUUUUCUGGGUAACUACCACAUUCAGUUUAAAAUUCUUUAUUGAUCAAAGUACUCAAGGAGAGGCUUAGCCUGGGAGAUGACUAGGAGAGAGUUUGUAUAGAAAUGAAAACUGGAGUGUCUUCAUGGAUCUGUAAUUUUUCUGUUUGUGUCUAGGGAAGCCUGAUUCCACAGAAAUACUAUAAUAGAGAAGUCAAAUGUACAAACUGUGAUUACUUCAUACCACACUACCUCCCUACCCAAUCUGCCACUGUUCCCUAUGCCCUUAAGAAACAAAAACCAAAACUCAAACUGGUUGGAAUUUAAACCUGAAACCAACGUGAGUGGGAGGAGUUUUCCCCCAUCUAAGGCUUACAUUUUGGUUUUACGUAAUUCUGAUCGAGUUGUUAUUCGUGUAGUUACUUUUUGGUUUCUAAAAUUUGCGUGCAAAAAUGAAGAGAAAGUACUGCAGUUUUCUUGAAAGUUUAGUCAAAACUUCAUGCUUAGCUCUCUUGGCUAUAUCAUCUCACAACUGUUAAUAUUUACAUGAGCUUUUCCUUCCUAAGUGAUGCACUGACAUAGUCACUGAAAUUGACACUAAAACGAACAUGUGAUAGCCUUCUCAUUUUAGAGCAUGCCAGUUUAUAUUGUACCUGAGCUUUAAUAUUAGGAUUCUAGGUUUUGUUCUGAUCGAUCUGUCGACCCUCAGUUAGGGAAGGGCAUCUGAUACUUAAAGCUGUGCCAUUACUUUGUGAAACAAACAUUUCAAUGCAAUGAUAUCAACGUGUGCAAGUAGAGAAAGCAAAAUACAAAUGCUUAUAAAAUUGCUACCUGACAGUAUUAUUUCUUGACCUGUGACUUCUGGCAGAGCUUGCAGAUGUCAGAAAGUGUCAGUAAUGGAUUCAGGCUGUGACAUUUGUCACUUAAAAAGUCACAUCACAAUUAAUAGAUUCAGGAUUCACUGAGCUUUUUCCUACAUGGUAUCACACUCGCUGCAUCUGUGACAGCCUUCAUUUCCUGCUUAGCAAAUCGAAGUCUGGUAGCAAGAGCCUCAGGAAGUUGUUAAAGCAAUUAAAGGCUUCUCUCACACAGUACAUUGCAUGGUUACCAUAGUAUCCUCUGCCUCCAAGUCUUUACUGAUGAUGUCAGUAUGCAUACAGGGGCUAUUCAGAGCAUCUACAUGAAUAUGAUUCAGCCUCUGCUAAAGAUUGUAAGCGUCCCUCCAUAUGUUCUAUUGUCUAGUAUCAUUUUAGAAAUUCAUGAGGCUGGAAGCCUGUUACCUGGUGAGGGCUCUGAUCUGCGUGCACAGGCCCACGGUUGUGCUGCCCCAGGACCUGACCACAGUGCCUGUGACAGGCCGGACCACAGCAAGUGGAUUCAAGAGCUGAAGACACAAAGUUUUUAAGAUGUCCUCCUUAUUUUUGUAUUCAAAGAAUGCAGCAUCUGUCUUUCUUUUUUUUCCACAGAAAUUAAUCAUAAUGAAGGAAAUGUGUACUCUUUGAGAAUCAAUCUGUGAUAUUUCCUCAACUGUGUCCUAUGCCAUAAGACCUUAAUUGUACAUGUAUGUAUGGAACACAGGAGAUGAAAGAUUUGCAGCUUGCAUAUUGACAAAAAUGAGACAAAUUGUGUUCUGUUCUGGCUAAGUCCUGUUUGCUGGCAGCGUGUAUGUAGUAUUUUAGUCUUACUGAAAUAAAUUUCUUAGAGAUAAAUGUAUGUGAUUUAAGAAGAUUGGACCCUGUAAUCAGGAAGACUACAAUAGUAGAAAAAGCCGUGCAACUCUUGUAUGUCUUCUGUAUUAUUAAAAAAAUCUCCAUGAAAACUUUUCUACUGCCUGAGAUGUGGUAUUUUCCCUCUGUAACCCUAUGAAAAUGAGAAAUGAUCUAUGUAAUUUUCUUAACUUUGUAUUUUAUAAGUUAAAUUCCUUUCUUUACCCUGAAACCACUUAUGUCUUCAUGUGUAUAACAAAAUGAUGAUAAAAGAAGUGGAACUGGUAGUUUGAACUUCUUUGAAAUGAAUUCCAGAAAUUUUAUGGGUUUUAUGCAUACUUCUAGUAUAUACUGACUGAUAACCUGUUUUCAUUCCACGAUUGUAUUUAUCUCCAAAAUUACAUACUCAUGUUCUGAAACUAUCCCUUUUGGUGUUGGAAUUAUUAUCAUAUACUCUAAAUAUGAUUACUUUGUAAUGGUGAGUCGUUAAGGUGAUCGUUCUUUGAAAUAUAAAGAUGAAUAUAAAACAAAUGUACUAGCAUACUGGGAAAACUGUUGUAGUGUUCUGUAGAGCUUAUAGUAUCCUGAGUGUUUUAUGUCUACACUGUCGUAACUACAGCACCUAAUUUUGGAGAACUUCUUUAUCAAAUGAUUCUUUCACUUUUCACUGUUUAGCCUGUUCUACAUGAGGGAGAAGUAGGAGUUCAGUGUUUCUUGUAGGGUUUCAUUUUGAAUGUCCAUGGAGUUUGUUUGUGCUAUCAUUUACCAGCCUGCUCCUCUUCGCUUUCCAAGUUGCCUUAUUGAUGGUUUUGUGAUCUGAAUGGGAGUUAGUGAUGAAGCCACACAGUUAUUUUGCUUUUUUUCUCAGUCCUUUGGUUAUUACCUCAGAACAUAAGUAGUGUGGUACUUCUAACAGAAACAUUAAUUUAUCAUUCAGUUAGGUACCUCUGUUUCUGUUGUAGAAUCAUGUAUUACCUCAAAGAGGUUGAAGGUGAGCUUUCUGUUCUUUUUUUAAAAACAUUACAAUUUUUUUCAAUGCAUUAAAAUCUAUAUCAGAGAAAAGGGAUUUCCAUCGGGGGUGCUGUAAGCACCAUGCUUGCAAAUAAAUUAUAUUCACUUUAGUGAAAGCUGCAUAGUGUAAACUGAGAAUGAAUCUGAUACGCAUUUCUCAGAAUGCAAAUCUGUAAGUGAUUUACAAUGGAAAAGCGUGGAAUCAGAAGGGUACUGUAAUUCCAAACCAAAGCCAAACCUCCUAGAUUGCUGUAAAAAUAAAGCACCUCUACAAGAUA
Molecule: non-coding RNA, 4814 nt
Organism: Meleagris gallopavo (turkey)
Lineage: Eukaryota; Metazoa; Chordata; Aves; Galliformes; Phasianidae
Source: RefSeq, a predicted model, not a curated record